Molecule: non-coding RNA, 2137 nt
Organism: Biomphalaria pfeifferi
Lineage: Eukaryota; Metazoa; Mollusca; Gastropoda; Planorbidae
Source: the annotation of a GenBank genome assembly
AUAUAUAUAAAUAAAAUAUAUAUAUAUAUAUAUAUAAAUAAAAUAUAUAUAUAUAUAUAUACUUUGAACAUUUCAUAGCCAUAUUAUUCAGAAUUUUUAACAAGUCAAUCUUCUUUUUUCAACUUUUAUUGUUUAUUAUUUGGUGUUGUGAUCAAGCCAUUGAUAAAGAAGUCAUUUUUUUAUUGCACAAUUAUUGGCUGUGAAUUCAUCUUAUAAUUAAUGUCAUUGAUUUCUCUUUAUGCUUUAGCCAGUGGGUAGUUCACUCACUAAACAGUUAAGAGUAUAUGUUGCCAGGUAGUAUAAAAUAAAAUACGUAAAGGACCAAAAGCUAUCCAAGUUCAUUUUUGAUGCAAGAUUCAUGUAAGGUACAAGACAAACAAGUAGAUAUUGUGUGUCAAGUGUAGAAUGAACUUUAAUUAUUUCAUUACUACUAGGAGGAGGACUGUGAACAUUUUUUUUUCCUCAGUGUUGUCGAGGUCAUAUCAAAUAAAAGAGAAACACUUGUGUCCUUUCUCUGUUUUGAUUGAAUUUCUCACUAUUUUUACAUUUUUAUUUUGACUUUUUAAAAUUCAUUUGAUAAAAGUGAAAAAUGUUUUUGUUAAAAAAAUCAAUCAGCUUUAUGUUUAUUAAGUUGUGCUCCAGGGUCACUUUUGAGUAAAAGUAGUACUUUUAUUUAUGGAAUUGCAUUAAAGUUUUCUGUUAAAAUAUUUUUUAGAUUUGGUACAUAACCAAAAUGAUACUGAUAUAAAUAUAUUUGAUGUGUAAAAUGCUUAAUAGAAUAUUGAACAAUGUAUGUUUUAUUAUACUGUUGACAUUUGACUAAAUGACUGUCAUGUUGAUCCAGCAAUCAAAGAACCAGUACUCCAUCCUAUCAGCCACCUCCCAACUUAAUACAGGACUACAGUAAUGACUAUUUUAACUAUCACCUUAUUCCAUCUGGCCUCAUCUCUGGUGGUAGAAUACAAUUAGUCUAAUUAUGGCAAGGACUGUUCAAUGAUAAUUAACUAAAAAUAUUUAAAUGGUUCCAAUGUUGUCAUUGUUAAAUUUUGCAUUCACUUCUUUUUUUCAGAUAAAUAUUAGUUUCAUGAUUUCUAAGUCUUUUUUUCUACUGGAAACCUCUCCUAGGUUUAUUAAGGAUUUUAAUUCAGAGAUUUUAAAAAUAUAGUAUUGAUUCAAAUUGAUGUUUAUCUUGCUGAGGAUAAAACUAAUUUUCUAUUAUUGUUUAAAAUAAAAGUAGUGUGUGAAAAUUGGUUUACCCGUUCAGUCGUAUCAAAUAUAAAAUACUGUGAAAACAGGUUAACCCAAUUUGUUAAAAAGUUUAACAAGAGUUUAACAGAGAUAGCAUUAGGUACUUUUUGUCAAUUUUUAGGGCCCUCCAGUUGUGCCAUGAUCUAUGGAAGAAUUAUGCCAUGUUUUAUUAAGAUUGGUCUAGUGGUUUUGAUUUCUAUUCGGGACAUACAUAGAUAUGCCUUACUUUCUGCUUUAUAUAUAUAUAUAUAUAUAUAUAUCUCUCUCUCUAUAUAUAUAUAUUUAAAAGACUGUUGUUGAUGUCAGGGUAAGGUGUGUACUUGAUUUGAAUAUGACAGUAAGUCUUAAUGUUGCAUAUCAUGUUGACUAAUCACCUGGUCUGUGAUGUUUUCAUUAGAAUACGGGCACAUUUUUGUUGUCAUGAAAAUAAUUGUUUAAGCUAAACUGCCAGCACAUUUUGAUGAUUCUUUCAUCAGAAAAGUGUUAAGAUUAGUGCAAGGAAAGAAUAAGGGAGGGGUGGAAUGAUAACUUUAUCACAAGUGUGUGAAAUUCUUUUCAAUUAAAACCCACUAUUAUCUAAACUAGAUACAAAUAAAUGGAAGACAAAAAAAAAAAGUAUAGGACAAUUUAGAACAGAUAAAAAGUAUGUUAUGGAAUAACACUAAAACAUUUUUUUUUUAGUUAUUAGUUUAAAACUAGUUGAUCUUUAUAAAUUUUUUUAGAUGUCUUGAAAAAGAUUCUAGACUGAUUUUUGUGCAAAUGAAGAAAAAACAACAACUCUUAAACAUUCUGUGAGCUGUCUGCAAAAAAAUAAAAGAAAAAAGUUGUUCUUAUUUCUCUGUCAGCAUUCUAUAAGGUAAAUCAUUUUAGCCCCCCCCCCCCCCCCCCU